CCCUAGUAGUUAGCCAGAGCGUUAAUCUAAUCAAACAGUCAAAUAGUGAAGAACCUGCAUUUUUAUAACGAGAUUUAUUCCGUGGAAGCCGAGUUCAUUGAUCUCGUCGUCUAAUAACCAAGUGAAUCGCCCCGAAUGCAAUUCUUCAUACCUCGCCCGGGCAUCCAUCACAUUUCGCUCCAUAUUACAAUUAUGUGUCUGGUAUUUGAUGACCGAAAUACUUACAGUCUGAGUGGCUCUUGCGCAGGCGAUUGGCAUCCUCGGCGUGACACACUUGUCGUUCACUUUUCUGGUAUUUAACUAAAUAAUUCGCAAGCCUGCGGAAGAAGGACAAGCAGCGGCGACACAAAAGUGAUCAGUUGUGAUCGGAAUUAUUAAUUAAUAUUCUUGCACCUUACGAAACUGUGUCGAGAUGUGGAGAAAUAAACAAUGCCGACCAAUGUAUCAGAUCAGAAAAAAACUCAUAACCAAAAUAAAAAACAACUUCAGUUGGCAGUCAUGACCGUGAAAAACAAAACAAGAAGCGCUGAAAAAGGAAUCGAAUAAGGUUUUCCUAUAGAAUAAAGCCAUAUAUAGAAUGCCGGUUAGUAAAGCUUUACAUAAAUAGGCCAAAUACUUUUGGUUUACGGAACGAAGUGGAACUACUUUUUAAAAAAGGAUUUUUCUGUAGACCGACACUUAAACAUAAUAUAAAUGGCAAGUUGGAGAAUUAUCGAACUGAAUCUAAUAAGUGUUGGCUUCCGCUGUGGCACGCGAUGUCGAGGACUAGGCCACGCCCAUUUUGCCUUGCUGAUCCAACGCCUAUGGUUAUAAAGAUGGCAACGAAUAAAGACGAUGGCCCUGAAGAGUUCUAUUCUGCGGCUUAAAAAUAUCAUUACGGCUUUAACAAAAUUAUAUUUCAUAAUUCCUAUAAUAUAUCAACAAUAAAAAAUGUAUUAUUGUAAUA
Molecule: non-coding RNA, 946 nt
Organism: Drosophila suzukii
Lineage: Eukaryota; Metazoa; Arthropoda; Insecta; Diptera; Drosophilidae
Source: RefSeq, a predicted model, not a curated record